GUUCUUGCUUCAUGAGUACAUAUACUAAAAUUGGAAUGGUACAGAGAAGAUUAGCAUGACCCCUGUGCAAGGAUUAUGCGCAAAUUCAUGAAGCAGUGUAUAUCUGU
Molecule: small nuclear RNA, 107 nt
Filed under: Notamacropus eugenii (tammar wallaby)
Lineage: Eukaryota; Metazoa; Chordata; Mammalia; Diprotodontia; Macropodidae
Source: RNAcentral